GGGCGAAAGCCUGACGGAGCAACGCCGCGUGAGGGAAGAAGGCCUUCGGAUUGUAAACCUCUGUCCUUGGGGACGAAAAAAAUGACGGUACCCAAGGAGGAAGCUCCGGCUAACUACGUGCCAGCAGCCGCGGUAAUACGUAGGGAGCGAGCGUUGUCCGGAAUUACUGGGCGUAAAGGGUGCGUAGGCGGCUAGGCAAGUCAGAUGUGAAAUCCCCGGGCUUAACUCGGGAGUUGCAUUUGAAACUGCUUGGCUUGAGUGCAGGAGAGGAAAGCGGAAUUCCUAGUGUAGCGGUGAAAUGCGUAGAUAUUGGGAGGAACACCAGUGGCGAAGGCGACUUUCUGGACUGUGUCUGACGCUGAGGCGCGAAAGCCAGGGGAGUGAACGGGAUUAGAUACCCCGGUAAUCCUGGCCGUAAACGAUGGGUACUAGGUGUAGGAGGUAUCGACCCCUUCUGUGCCGGAGUUAACGCAAUAAGUACCCCGCCUGGGGAGUA
This 496-nucleotide ribosomal RNA is filed under the name uncultured bacterium. RNAcentral's name for it is "bacterial SSU rRNA". It matches the Rfam family "Bacterial small subunit ribosomal RNA", at positions 373 to 882 of the family's 1533-position model. The record is from RNAcentral.